RNAcentral lists this ribosomal RNA (503 nucleotides) under uncultured bacterium. RNAcentral describes it as "partial 16S ribosomal RNA". It matches the Rfam family "Bacterial small subunit ribosomal RNA", at positions 30 to 523 of the family's 1533-position model. The record is from RNAcentral.
AUUGAACGCUGGCGGCAGGCUUAACACAUGCAAGUCGAGCGGGGUGAUGGUGCUUGCACUAUCACUUAGCGGCGGACGGGUGAGUAAUGCUUAGGAAUCUGCCUAUCAGUGGGGGACAACAUCUCGAAAGGGAUGCUAAUACCGCAUACGUCCUACGGGAGAAAGCAGGGGAUCACUUGUGACCUUGCGCUAAUAGAUGAGCCUAAGUCGGAUUAGCUAGUUGGUGGGGUAAAGGCCUACCAAGGGGACGAUCUGUAGCGGGUCUGAGAGGAUGAUCCGCCACACUGGGCCUGAGACACGGCCCAGACUCCUACGGGAGGCAGCAGUGGGGAAUAUUGAACAAUGGGGGGAACCCUGAUCCAGCCAUGCCGCGUGUGUGAAGAAGGCCUUAUGGUUGUAAAGCACUUUAAGCGAGGAGGAGGCUCUUUUGGUUAAUACCCAAGAUGAGUGGACGUUACUCGCAGAAUAAGCACCGGCUAACUCUGUGCCAGCCGCCGCGGUAA